This 301-nucleotide ribosomal RNA is filed under the name uncultured bacterium. Its description in RNAcentral is "partial 16S ribosomal RNA". It matches the Rfam family "Bacterial small subunit ribosomal RNA", at positions 509 to 807 of the family's 1533-position model. The record is from RNAcentral.
CAGCAGCCGCGGUAGUACGAAGGGUGCAAGCGUUACUCGGAAUUACUGGGCGUAAAGCGUGCGUAGGUGGUGGUUUAAGUCCGUUGUGAAAGCCCUGGGCUCAACCUGGGAAUUGCAGUGGAUACUGGGUCUCUAGAGUGUGGUAGAGGAUAGUGGAAUUUCCGGUGUAGCAGUGAAAUGCGUAGAGAUCGGAAGGAACAUCUGUGGCGAAGGCGACUAUCUGGGCCAACACUGACACUGAGGCACGAAAGCGUGGGGAGCAAACAGGAUUAGAGACCCCUGUAGUCCCUGUCUCUUAUAC